GACGAACGCUGGCGGCGUGCUUAACACAUGCAAGUCGAACGGUGAAGCGCCUUCCUUUUUGGUGGGUGUGGAGGGGCGGCGAAGGGGGGAGUAACACGUGAGUAACCUGCUCCCUCCUUCUGAAUAACGGCAUGAAGGUGUGGCUAAUACGGGAUAUUCUGGGCCGGUCGCAUGAUGGGUCUGGGAAGGAUUUUGUUUCGGUGGGGGAUGGGCUCGCGGCCUAUCAGCUUGUUGGUGGGGUGAUGGCCUACCAAGGCGGUGACGGGUAGCCGGCCUGAGAGGGUGGACCGCCACACAGGGGCGGAGAGGCGGACCAGACUACUACGGGAGGCAGCAGGGAGUAUUAUUGCACAGUGGGCGGACUGCUGGUGCAGCGACGCCGCGUGAGUGAUGGAGGCCUUCGGGUUGUGAACCUCUUUCGCGAGUGAAGCAGGCCUGCCUCGUUUGUGGGUGGGUUGACGGUAGCUGGAUAAGAAGCGCCGGCUAACUACGUG
This 494-nucleotide ribosomal RNA is filed under the name uncultured bacterium. RNAcentral's name for it is "partial 16S ribosomal RNA". It matches the Rfam family "Bacterial small subunit ribosomal RNA", at positions 28 to 507 of the family's 1533-position model. The record is from RNAcentral.